Molecule: ribosomal RNA, 2063 nt
Filed under: Salmonella enterica subsp. enterica serovar Enteritidis
Lineage: Bacteria; Pseudomonadati; Pseudomonadota; Gammaproteobacteria; Enterobacterales; Enterobacteriaceae
Description: partial 23S ribosomal RNA
Rfam family: Bacterial large subunit ribosomal RNA
Source: RNAcentral
ACACUAACUGGAGGACCGAACCGACUAAUGUUGAAAAAUUAGCGGAUGACCUGUGGCUGGGGGUGAAAGGCCAAUCAAACCGGGAGAUAGCUGGUUCUCCCCGAAAGCUAUUUAGGUAGCGCCUCGUGAAUUCAUCUCCGGGGGUAGAGCACUGUUUCGGCUAGGGGGCCAUCCCGGCUUACCAACCCGAUGCAAACUGCGAAUACCGGAGAAUGUUAUCACGGGAGACACACGGCGGGUGCUAACGUCCGUCGUGAAGAGGGAAACAACCCAGACCGCCAGCUAAGGUCCCAAAGUCAUGGUUAAGUGGGAAACGAUGUGGGAAGGCCCAGACAGCCAGGAUGUUGGCUUAGAAGCAGCCAUCAUUUAAAGAAAGCGUAAUAGCUCACUGGUCGAGUCGGCCUGCGCGGAAGAUGUAACGGGGCUAAACCAUGCACCGAAGCUGCGGCAGCGACACUGUGUGUUGUUGGGUAGGGGAGCGUUCUGUAAGCCUGUGAAGGUGUGUCGUGAGGCAUGCUGGAGGUAUCAGAAGUGCGAAUGCUGACAUAAGUAACGAUAAAGCGGGUGAAAAGCCCGCUCGCCGGAAGACCAAGGGUUCCUGUCCAACGUUAAUCGGGGCAGGGUGAGUCGACCCCUAAGGCGAGGCCGAAAGGCGUAGUCGAUGGGAAACGGGUUAAUAUUCCCGUACUUGGUGUUACUGCGAAGGGGGGACGGAGAAGGCUAUGUUGGCCGGGCGACGGUUGUCCCGGUUUAAGCGUGUAGGUGUGUGUUCCAGGUAAAUCCGGUUCACUUUAACACUGAGGCGUGACGACGAGGCACUACGGUGCUGAAGCAACAAAUGCCCUGCUUCCAGGAAAAGCCUCUAAGCAUCAGGUAACAUCAAAUCGUACCCCAAACCGACACAGGUGGUCAGGUAGAGAAUACCAAGGCGCUUGAGAGAACUCGGGUGAAGGAACUAGGCAAAAUGGUGCCGUAACUUCGGGAGAAGGCACGCUGACACGUAGGUGAAGUGAUUUACUCAUGGAGCUGAAGUCAGUCGAAGAUACCAGCUGGCUGCAACUGUUUAUUAAAAACACAGCACUGUGCAAACACGAAAGUGGACGUAUACGGUGUGACGCCUGCCCGGUGCCGGAAGGUUAAUUGAUGGGGUCAGCGCAAGCGAAGCUCCUGAUCGAAGCCCCGGUAAACGGCGGCCGUAACUAUAACGGUCCUAAGGUAGCGAAAUUCCUUGUCGGGUAAGUUCCGACCUGCACGAAUGGCGUAAUGAUGGCCAGGCUGUCUCCACCCGAGACUCAGUGAAAUUGAACUCGCUGUGAAGAUGCAGUGUACCCGCGGCAAGACGGAAAGACCCCGUGAACCUUUACUAUAGCUUGACACUGAACAUUGAGCCUUGAUGUGUAGGAUAGGUGGGAGGCUUUGAAGUGUGGACGCCAGUCUGCAUGGAGCCGACCUUGAAAUACCACCCUUUAAUGUUUGAUGUUCUAACGUGGACCCGUUACCCGGGUUGCGGACAGUGUCUGGUGGGUAGUUUGACUGGGGCGGUCUCCUCCUAAAGAGUAACGGAGGAGCACGAAGGUUGGCUAAUCCUGGUCGGACAUCAGGAGGUUAGUGCAAUGGCAUAAGCCAGCUUGACUGCGAGCGUGACGGCGCGAGCAGGUGCGAAAGCAGGUCAUAGUGAUCCGGUGGUUCUGAAUGGAAGGGCCAUCGCUCAACGGAUAAAAGGUACUCCGGGGAUAACAGGCUGAUACCGCCCAAGAGUUCAUAUCGACGGCGGUGUUUGGCACCUCGAUGUCGGCUCAUCACAUCCUGGGGCUGAAGUAGGUCCCAAGGGUAUGGCUGUUCGCCAUUUAAAGUGGUACGCGAGCUGGGUUUAGAACGUCGUGAGACAGUUCGGUCCCUAUCUGCCGUGGGCGCUGGAGAACUGAGGGGGGCUGCUCCUAGUACGAGAGGACCGGAGUGGACGCAUCACUGGUGUUCGGGUUGUCAUGCCAAUGGCACUGCCCGGUAGCUAAAUGCGGAAGAGAUAAGUGCUGAAAGCAUCUAAGCACGAAACUUGCCCCGAG